Non-coding RNA from Caenorhabditis elegans, 137 nucleotides. Lineage: Eukaryota; Metazoa; Nematoda; Chromadorea; Rhabditida; Rhabditidae. The record is from Ensembl.
CAUUUCUCGGGACGUCGUCGGUCGUGUGAAGUGUGAACAUAUGAUGUGUGGUGAAGUGGACGCAAUAGCACUACUGACAAGGACACAUAACUGCAUAUGAAGUAGGUACAUGAGAAAUUGUCUUGUCCAAGAUGGAG